Clupea harengus (Atlantic herring) is the source of this 2058-nucleotide long non-coding RNA. RefSeq lists it as uncharacterized. The transcript is spliced from 2 exons. The record is from RefSeq and is a predicted model, not a curated record. NCBI's taxonomy places the organism in Eukaryota, Metazoa, Chordata, Actinopteri, Clupeiformes, Clupeidae.
GUGGUGGAGGAGGAGGAGGAGGAGGAGGAGGAACACUUCCCCCCUAGGGUGCAUGCGUGUACAGAGACCUUCCCGUCACUACAUAUCUAUCUGUCUGUCCAUCCUCUCCCUGUGAUUGGCAGUGAGGGAUAUCAGUGAUGUUGCUGGGAGUGCUGUGAAGCACGCCAGGUGUUUUUGCAUCCGUACCAUAACAUGGCUUGGAGCAUCGACCCAGAAUAACUUUAACUUUGUGCUCUCGUUGUGGAGGUUUGCAUCUUUGAAUGCGGGUGGUUUUUAAAAGUCAGUAUUCUCAAGUAUAUAUGAUGGUGAAAGCAGGUGCUAGGGGGUAUGUUGGCUAGUGGAUGGUGAAUGUUGUUGGUUCUUGGUUGGUUUGAGAAAUCUGGCAUUUGGAUGUUUUUUGUAAGUGUUUCGAUGGUAUUCAGGGUAUAUCCUUGGUUGAAGUGAAUGAGGAACUAAAGGUGAUGGAAAUCAAGAGCCUGGACCUAACUUAAAAUGGCUUUCAGUUGAAUGUGCUUGCCUUAUAUUUAAACGUGUGUCUGAGGGGGGGGGUACUGACAUGUUCAGGUGUCAUUUCAUAGUGGUGUCUCGCAGCUCCGCAGAAAGGUUAGAUCUCCAGAAGCAAGACUGAGCACCGCUGGGCUGCAUGGAGUAAACGCUUGAUCGGCAUGUUCUGGAGUAGCCAGGAGUGAUCCGAUCCGAAUGACCCAUGAUUGGCAUGUUCUGGAGUAGCCAGGAGUGAUCCGAUCCGAAUGACCCAUGAUUGGCAUGUUCUGGAGUAACCAGGAGUGAUCCGAUCCCAAUGACCCAUGAUUGGCAUGUUCUGGAGUAGCCAGGAGUGAUCCGAAUGCAACUGGUUUAAAGACUCGGAGACGUGGGCCUGUGUAGCUUAUCUCAGUUAGAGGACUGUAUUUAUUUAUGUUCCAGUGACCCCUUCCCCGUGACCCUCCCGUGACCCUCCCGUGACCCUGUAGGUUCGUCUCAGGAUGGAGAUGUGCUGGAUCCCCCCACGCAACAGGCCCCUAAGACAGUAAAGCUACGCUGAGAGCGAGUGAACGUACUCGUUCGAGUGUAAAGUGCAUUAUAUCGUCACAUGACCCCCGAUUGUGCUUGGUGUCAGGACCUCUCUACUCUACUGAUGAUUCUGCUGAUUCACACUCACACUGCCAAACAAAACCCUUCCUUUUAAUCCCUCGGGAUUAAUAAAGUAUCCAUCUAUCUAUCUUUUUAAAAUGGCUGAAUGCACAGCAUUUGAGUUUAUAUACUCAAACCUGGUCACAUCAGUGGUCCGGUAACUUUUCACGCAACUCUGAUGAAUAUUUGUUUCUCAAUGAUUAGUUUAAGGUGAUUGGAGGUCUGUUCUUUUUUUUUUUAUAUAUAUAUAAAAUUGUCGCUGAACUGCAUAAUCUGUUGCUACUAUCGCCAACCAGCGUUGGUUACAUCGUUGGUUGAUGAAGACCUAAUGUAAUAUGCUGAAGCCAGUAGCCUAGCGUAAACUGUUUCAAAUGGAUGUUCUUUGUGAAAGUGUGGAUUUCUUUGGGUACCUAGCCAUGUAAUAAACAGGGGAAAUAUACAGGCAUUCAGUCAUGAUUAAAAACAGCUUUCAGGGUGAUGCAAGACCCCUCCACUCUGCACGGGGAUCCUGACUUCCUGUAAUAUAUGAAGGAUAAUGACUACUGGGGUAUACUGAUAUACAGAGUAAUGGAUACUGAUAUACAGAGUAAUGGAAGAGGCUUAGAACUGACCAAUGCAAAGCUCAGAUGUAAAUGGCAAGAUCUUCUGUCCUCUAUCCAACAUUUUACAAUAUGCCUUAACGUUUGUUUUUUUCUUCUUCAUGAUCUACUGUUCAUCCUUAUAGUUGAGAUGACUGUACUCAGAAAUAUUCCUUACGCUAUGACAGAAUGAUUUAUUAACUUAAUAUUCAGAUUAGACUAAUUAAAGGUUACAUACAAUACUGUCAUAUUUAAUGCUUAGCUCCCAGUCUGACUGACUAUCACGGCACGUUCACAGUCUCUCUGCUCUCUGUAACUUCUCACAAUAAAACACUUUUAUUGAUAACCA